CCUACGGGUGGCAGCAGUGAGGAAUAUUGGUCAAUGGGCGAGAGCCUGAACCAGCCAAGUCGCGUGAAGGAUGAAGGAUCUAUGGUUUGUAAACUUCUUUUAUCUGGGAAUAAAGUGAGGAACGUGUUCCUUUUUGUAUGUACCAUAUGAAUAAGCAUCGGCUAACUCCGUGCCAGCAGCCGCGGUAAUACGGAGGAUGCGAGCGUUAUCCGGAUUUAUUGGGUUUAAAGGGUGCGUAGGUGGUUAGUUAAGUCAGCGGUGAAAGUUUGUGGCUCAACCAUAAACUUGCCGUUGAAACUGGUUGUCUUGGGUGAGUGUGAGGUAGGCGGAAUGCGUGGUGUAGCGGUGAAAUGCAUAGAUAUCACGCAGAACUACGAUUGCGAAGGAAGCAUA
Molecule: ribosomal RNA, 393 nt
Filed under: uncultured bacterium
Lineage: Bacteria
Description: partial 16S ribosomal RNA
Rfam family: Bacterial small subunit ribosomal RNA
Source: RNAcentral